GUGCUCGCUUCGGCAGCACAUAUACUAAAAUUGGAACGAUACAGAGAUUAGCAUGGCCCCUGCGCAAGGAUGACACGCAGACUCGUGAAGCGUUCCGUAUUUUU
Molecule: small nuclear RNA, 104 nt
Organism: Callithrix jacchus (white-tufted-ear marmoset)
Lineage: Eukaryota; Metazoa; Chordata; Mammalia; Primates; Cebidae
Source: Ensembl